RNAcentral lists this ribosomal RNA (749 nucleotides) under Bacillus pumilus. RNAcentral describes it as "bacterial SSU rRNA". It matches the Rfam family "Bacterial small subunit ribosomal RNA", at positions 36 to 768 of the family's 1533-position model. The record is from RNAcentral. Lineage: Bacteria; Bacillati; Bacillota; Bacilli; Caryophanales; Bacillaceae.
CUGGCGGCGUGCCUAAUACAUGCAAGUCGAGCGGACAGAAGGGAGCUUGCUCCCGGAUGUUAGCGGCGGACGGGUGAGUAACACGUGGGUAACCUGCCUGUAAGACUGGGAUAACUCCGGGAAACCGGAGCUAAUACCGGAUAGUUCCUUGAACCGCAUGGUUCAAGGAUGAAAGACGGUUUCGGCUGUCACUUACAGAUGGACCCGCGGCGCAUUAGCUAGUUGGUGAGGUAACGGCUCACCAAGGCGACGAUGCGUAGCCGACCUGAGAGGGUGAUCGGCCACACUGGGACUGAGACACGGCCCAAACUCCUACGGGAGGCAGCAGUAGGGAAUCUUCCGCAAUGGACGAAAGUCUGACGGAGCAACGCCGCGUGAGUGAUGAAGGUUUUCGGAUCGUAAAGCUCUGUUGUUAGGGAAGAACAAGUGCAAGAGUAACUGCUUGCACCUUGACGGUACCUAACCAGAAAGCCACGGCUAACUACGUGCCAGCAGCCGCGGUAAUACGUAGGUGGCAAGCGUUGUCCGGAAUUAUUGGGCGUAAAGGGCUCGCAGGCGGUUUCUUAAGUCUGAUGUGAAAGCCCCCGGCUCAACCGGGGAGGGUCAUUGGAAACUGGGAAACUUGAGUGCAGAAGAGGAGAGUGGAAUUCCACGUGUAGCGGUGAAAUGCGUAGAGAUGUGGAGGAACACCAGUGGAGAAGGCGACCCUCUGGCCUGUAACUGACGCUGAGGAACGAAAGCGUGGGGAG